This 253-nucleotide ribosomal RNA is filed under the name uncultured bacterium. RNAcentral describes it as "partial 16S ribosomal RNA". It matches the Rfam family "Bacterial small subunit ribosomal RNA", at positions 524 to 776 of the family's 1533-position model. The record is from RNAcentral.
UACAGAGGUGGCAAGCGUUGUUCGGAAUUACUGGGCGUAAAGGGCGCGUAGGCGGCCAUCUAAGUCAGACGUGAAAUCCCCCGGCUUAACCUGGGAACUGCGUCUGAUACUGGACGGCUUGAGUAUGGGAGAGGGAUGUAGAAUUCCAGGUGUAGCGGUGAAAUGCGUAGAUAUCUGGAGGAAUACCGGUGGCGAAGGCGGGUCUCUGGGCCGAUACUGACGCUGAGGAGCGAAAGCGUGGGGAGCGAACAGG